UUUUUUUUUUCUUUUUUAUUAGGACAGACCAUUUCAGUUAUUGUGGAAAUCACAGCCAUUAUGACCCAAUUCUUCAAAAACUGUAGAGACUCCUGAGAUACUAUGCCAUUAGAAAGCAUUUUCUGUGAGGUAGACACAAAUUCUAUUACAUUAAUUUUACAGCUCUCAGUCAGAGUCUCAGGCAGUGCAAGGAAUAAACAAAGACAGAGACAAAAAUCUCUUCCUCUGGAACAUUAUUUUCAUUGAUGCAUUUUGGUUUACUUUAUACGCGAAAUAUAUUCACUGCAUUCAGCUGUAAAUCUGUCCACAGUUUUGCUAGUACACCAAAUAAUUAUAAUAUUUUCUUUGUGAAACACUGAUUUUAGAUACAGUUUACACUCAUUAAAUAUACUUAACAAGUACUUUGGUUAUAUCUUUAUGCCCUCUCUUGGGCCUUUUUAUUGCUUAUCAAUAAACUAAGCAUUCAAUUGAGCCAACAGCUGAUUUGGGUAUCCCCUUUUUUGUUAGACAUAGUUACCACCAGAGUUUAAUAAAAAAUGAAGAUUUAGAAUUUUCUUUAUCAGAAAGAAACAAGUUGUCACUAAUCAAGCCCUGCCAUAGGCUUCCACUGGACUUCAGUUUUUAAAUAAGUUCAUCUGCCGCACCAGAAAAAAACCUGCAAAAAUGAAUCAGUGGUUUUAUAUAAUUGAAUAAAAGGCCUAAAAUUUAUUCCUUCUAUUAAUUUUCUGCUUGGGACCUUUCAAAAUGUUUCCUUUCUUACAGUGUCUACUCAGUGAUGCAGGAGAGACCACAUCUAGUUUUUCCCUUUACUUUCUGUCUCUUCCCCCAUGCCUCAUAAAAACUAAAGACCUCAGGAAGUGGGGAAAAAAGAGAAAUAUUUAUACUGACAUUUUAGAAGGAAUAUCAUAUCAAGUCUACAUUUGAAGAAAAAAAAUUGUUAAUAUGUGACCUGUGAACAUAUAAUUUUCAUUUUCUCUAUAGCAAAGUUAACAAAAACUUUUGCCUUCCAUUGCUUAAAAAUAUUUUCAGCAGAUUGUAAGCAAAUCAUGUUAAACAUAUGAUCUAAAUCUGAAUUUUCUUGUACCACUAGAGAAUUCAAGCCAACUAUCUACUUGUGGCUUUGGGUUUCCAGUUAAGCGAUUCAGCAAGCAAGCCUUAUGAUUAUGUCCAUUUUUAGAAAUGGUGUGGAUAGAUUUUCCAGUAUCAAAACUCCAAGCAAAAGAAGAAAAAGUGACAUUUCAUUAAAUUUGCUUUCAGCAGCAAAACUUGGCUUUUGCUCUUGGCAUAACUGUUUCUGGAAACAUUUAGAUUAUAACCAGGCUUCAUACUAAUAUUAAAAGCCCAGAUAACAGGAAAAUAGGGUCUAUGUAGAACAAAAAAUACACUGAAGCACAAAGGUUUGUAAGAAUUAGUCUACUCACACAUGUUAGAUGUGAGAACGCCAGCUAUGUAUUUAGCUUCUGUCUCAUGAUUUUCUAGCAAGAGUAUUGGGAAAUGUAACCAAUCCCUCAAAACAAACUGUUUCAUGUUUUGUUAUGAAGUUUCCAAGCAAGGAGUUUGUCGUGACAAUUACUACAUAUCUUUGGGCUUUUUGCUUUGAAAAGUCUCUUCAUACUCAAAUCAAGGUGUACUUUUCAUAAUGGCACCUCAUUAUUCUUAAUUAUACCUUAGUGGUCUAUGCAUUUGGCAUGCAAGCCUUUGUUGCAUCUACUAAAUCAAUUUGCUUGUUAUGUUCAGCCAUACUGGGAUUCUUUUCGCAAUGCCUUUUAUUCUUUCCUUCGAGGGCAUCAUCCCUCACUUGUAAAUCUUUAUUCUCUGAACUUGGCUCUUGCAAAUGAACAUCUUCCUACUAAUGUGAUAUUCAGAUAAGAAUGCCAGAUCCCAGAUCCUCUUACAUGAAUUUGAUGUUUUGAUAUUUCUUUGAAGCUGAAAUAAUUGUCUUAUUGCAAUAUAACAAAAA
Molecule: long non-coding RNA, 1960 nt
Filed under: Strigops habroptila (Kakapo)
Lineage: Eukaryota; Metazoa; Chordata; Aves; Psittaciformes; Psittacidae
Description: lncRNA (ENSSHBG00005019891.1)
Source: RNAcentral